RNAcentral lists this unclassified non-coding RNA (384 nucleotides) under uncultured fungus. Its description in RNAcentral is "sequence contains ITS1". The stretch from base 1 to 105 matches the Rfam family "5.8S ribosomal RNA", at positions 50 to 154 of the family's 154-position model. The record is from RNAcentral. Lineage: Eukaryota; Fungi.
GAAAUGCGAUACUUGGUGUGAAUUGCAGAAUUCCGUGAACCAUCGAAUCUUUGAACGCACAUUGCGCCUUAGGCUUCGGCCAAGGGCAUGUCUGCCUCAGCGUCGGGUUAAUAUCGCUCCCCUAUACCCCUAUGGGUAGAGAGAGGCGGAUCUGGCUGUUCCAGCUAUGCAGUCCGAAUCACUCUGUGGUUUGGGCAUCUAUGCACCUGGAUCAGCUGAAGACCAGAGGCUAACCAAGGACCCGUCAAGGGCCGCAACUGGGUGGGCUGUCAAAGGCUAUAUUCUUAGUUGUUGGUCUGGGACUUUGCGUUCGGCCCUCAAACAGGAACCUAUAUUAACCAUUAUCUCGACCUGAGCUCAGGCAAGAACACCCGCUGAACUUAA